Molecule: long non-coding RNA, 3295 nt
Filed under: Homo sapiens (human)
Lineage: Eukaryota; Metazoa; Chordata; Mammalia; Primates; Hominidae
Description: non-protein coding lnc-IRF2-1:8
Source: RNAcentral
GUCGGCUGCUUGGGAAGGUAUUGGGAACAGCUUAUGUUUUUCUUUCACAAAAAAGCAGCAGGCACCACAGAGAGAGACGGCUGUCUAGUUUUUUGUUGGGCACAGAUCUUGCUUCUCUGAACCGGGAGAGAGGUGUUUGCCCCUCGCUGCGGGGGCCCAGCACAGGUGGUUCCUGCUGGCUGUUGUCCUUGGUCACAUCGUCCUUGGAGUUGUAGGAAUCCCUCCCAGACUGUGGGAUAGGCUGACAAUCUUGGAUAUUAUUGUAGUGGUGAAUGUUUUCUCUUUAAGGGAUUUCAGUGGGAAAUUUAGAGGAACGUAGAGGAGGCUGUUGGGUAUUUUACCCUGCGUGCUUCCUUUAGAGAUUGUUCUGAGCUGUGUACUUUGUAAUCCUUGGGCCCGGGAUUCUUAUCAUGUUCUUUUCACUGGUUUUGGUUAAUGUGUUUGUUCUGAAGACAGUAGCCUGGGGGAAUGAGACAUCUCCUUAAGGCGCCGCUUGACUGACAGACACCCUUAAUGUAUGUAAUUCAUGGAAAACUACAGUCCCCACCUCACCCCCCUAAAAAAGCAAAACAUCUGAGUUAGGGGGUGUGUCAGAUUGAAAUGGUUGAAGAGUGAAUGGUGGCUGGAAGGUGAGCAGUUAGAAGUGAUUGCAAAUUCCUUUCCAGUAUAUUGUCAAGAAGGAUAGGAUGGUGGCCUGACACCCAGCUCUGCUAUUUAUUCUGUUAUCUCUUACAGGUUAGUCUCCCUCUUUGAGUCUUAGUUUCUUGUCUGUAAAAUAAGGGUGAUAUUACCGGUCCUCCCUGCUUGUCAGUUUUUGUGAAGGCAGUUCAAAAUAAAGUAUGUCAACAUAGUUCCUAAACCCCACAGUCUCCCAAAAGUGAGUGAGUUGGUAAUCAGUAGAGUGUCCAGUGUAAUACAAGGCCAGGGCCGCUAGAAAUGCCGUUCAAAGCAGACCGCAUCUACAAAAUACCUUCACAGUAACAGCUAGAUUAGUGUUUGAUUAAAUAAUUUAAUUAAAUAAUAAUAAUUAAUAAUAGCCUAGCCAAGUUGACACAUAAAACUAACCCUCAUACCCCAGAAAGUCUUUGCUCAAAUAUUAUGUUUUCCUAACAUUUAAAAUUGCAGUCCUACACACGUGUACAUCUUCCCUAAUAUUCUCUCUUCCCGUUCCCCUAGCCUGCUUUCCUUUAGCAUUUAUUAUCUUUGAGCCAUCCCUGUAUUUCUUAUCUCUAUCUUUAUUGUCUUUUUGCCUUCUCUGGAAUGUUAGCUCCACGUGGGCGGGGCAUUUUUGUCAAUGUUGUGAACCGAUGAAUCCUCAGCACCCAGCACAGCAUCUAGCACACAGUGGGCUCCUAAGAAACCUUUGCAAAUCACCGAAUGAAGCAUUAAUGUGAGCACUCAGUAAAUAUUUUUUCAAAUGAAUUUAGAGCUGGAGUUCAUCAUGAGAUAUUCCUGAACAGCCUCAGUAGGAGAGAAGUAGGAAAAGGGUAGAAGCAUGGCAGAUUAUAGGAAAAAAGAGAAAAUUUUCAGAGUUUGACAUCUAAGAAGUCGAAGAUUUAGUGAAGAAGGAGCACAGACUUGGGUGUUAAGUUCCCUUUACCCCUUAGCUGUGUAACUUUGGACAGGUUGUCUAAUCUCCUUGAACCUCAGUUUCUUCGUCUGUAAACUGGAAAUAGUAAUACUUAUCAUGUAGGGUUGUACCAGUGGUGACAAGUUGAUGCGUUUAAUGGGCUUAGCAUAGGACCUGGCCCACAGUGAGUGUUUAUUAAGAGGUGUCUGUUGCCAUCACCACCAUCAUCAUCAUCAUUAUUCAAUAUCAAAGUGGGGAAAUUUAUAAGAAAUCAUUGAAGUGUACUAAAAGUAAAAUUUUGGGAUUUCAGUCUAGCCUGUGAAGUUGGGAUGUUAAAAAUCUGAAACAAUGUUAACACACAAGUUUGGUUUGUACAGAGUGUCAGGGCAUAGUCACUUUUGUGCCAGGUCCUUUUAUUUUGUUUCAAAACAGAAUGAAAAUCUUUUCAGCAUAUAUAGCCCAUAAAACACAGUAAUUGACAUCAAAUCCUUCAGUUUGCCCCAAGCUGCCACUUAAAGUGCAGAGUUAGUUGGUUCCAGGUCAGAGGUGCCAUUCAUUUAUUUUCAACUGAUACAUGAGACAAAAAGUGCAGUCUUCACUGCUGAUGUUCUGCUCACCAGGAUUCUUUUGUUAUCUCCUGAGGUUGUUGCUUUGGACAACAAGAGAGAUGUUAGGUUCCAGCAAAGCUCCAUAAAGACACUGACUCAACUCCACCAUAAGUAUAACCUGUCACCAUAAGUAAAACUGAAAGGAUACACCUUAUCACCAUACUAUAUAUAUAUACUGUAUACUAUAGUAUAUACCUUAUCACCAUAAGUAUAGCUGAAAGGUUUCCUGAAAGAUCCAAAGGAAUAUACACUCACAGAACCCUCGAUAUGUCGCGUUGCUUGCAUAUCAAUAUCAUUUCUGGUGUUCUAACAGAACUUUUAGGAUUGGUCCCCUCUGAUAAAUGGUAAUUUUCCUGAUAUGUGGGUUGCGUGUUUAUCUGAGAAAUGCUAAUUCUGGAAAAGUGUGAACCUGGUCAUUCUCCAUGGCAUUAUGCCCAGUUUUAACUUCUUGAGAGGAGACAUUUGUAGUUAGGAAGAAAAGUAGAUUUAAUGUAGAGGAAAGAUGAAGGCCGGAUGUUUGAGGUUUUUCUUCUGGUCUUUCUGUUUCCUGUAGUAUCUGAAUAUAGCUAGUUACAAUAUUUCAUGUCUAUUUAAGAAGUGGGCAGAUUGUGAAAAAAUAGCUGCAGUGUUCUGAGUUAUGAUCUUGUUUCUUGGUUUCUGUUUUGCUCUGUUGUUAUGAGAAAUAAAUGGGAGGGAGAGCCAUAGUUUAAGAAUGAUAGAUUCUUCCAGCAGUUCUUUUUUGACUCAAGGCCAUUUCCUCACAGAGGGCUGUGGAAUGUGUAGUAACAUUCUUCAGAGUGUCAUUCAAUUCAGGAUGGAUGGACUUUAGUAGAGAACAGCAGUCACUGUGAACUUACUUCAGGAUUACAAGAUAUUUUCUUACCUAAAUGUUAGAGAUGGAAUCAUGAAAGUACCACUGUUCUGUGCUCUGUUUCCCGAAUGGAAAAAAUACUGAUUUAAAUUGAAUUAGUCUUUGUUCUUCUGUGUAUUUAUUAGGCAUGCUUAUAAUAAAGAAUUAAAACAAUACUUUCAAAUUUAUUAUUUAUUUAUUUUUAUUUUUUUGAGGCAGAGUCUCACUUUGUCACCCAGGCUGGAGUGCAGUGGUACAAUCAUGGCU